Molecule: ribosomal RNA, 491 nt
Filed under: uncultured bacterium
Lineage: Bacteria
Description: partial 16S ribosomal RNA
Rfam family: Bacterial small subunit ribosomal RNA
Source: RNAcentral
AGUGAACGCUGGCGGUAUGCCUAACACAUGCAAGUCGAACGGCAGCACAGUAAGAGCUUGCUCUUACGGGUGGCGAGUGGCGGACGGGUGAGGAAUACAUCGUAAUCUACUUUUUCGUGGGGGAUAACGUAGGGAAACUUACUCUAAUACCGCAUACGACCUACGGGUGAAAGCAGUGGAUCUUCGGACCUUUCGCGAUUGAAUGAGCCGAUGUCGGAUUAGUUAGUUGGCGGGGUAAAGGCCCACCAGGGCGACGAUCGGUAGCUGGUCUGAGUGGAUGAUGAGCCACAGUGGACCUGAGACACGAUCCAGGCUCUGACGGGAGGCACAAGUGGGGAAGGUUGGAAAAUGGGCGCAAGCCUGAUCCAGCCAUACAGGGUGGGUGAAGAAGGCCUUCGGGUGGUAAAGCCCUUUUGUUGGGAAAGAAAAGCAGCAGGUUAAAACCCCGCUGUUCUGACGGUACCCAAAGAAUAAGAACCGGCUAAUUUCGU